CGCGAAUUCGCCCUUCGGGGUGCGCAGGCGCGAAAACUCCACAAUGUACGGAAGUACGAUGGGGUUAUCUCGAGUGCAGUCCGAUAAGGGCUGCUUUUCCAUAGAGUAAUAUCCUGUGGGAAUAAGAGGGGGGCAAGACUGGUGUCAGCCGCCGCGGUAACACCAGCCCCUCGAGUGGUGGGGACUAUUAUUUGGUCUAAAGCGUCCGUAGCUGGCUGUAUCCGUCCCCCGUUAAAUCCAGCGUCCUAAGCGUUGGACUGCGGGUGAUACCAUACAGCUAGAGGGUGGGAUAGGUGAGCGGUAUUUCUGGGGUAGGGGCGAAAUCCUUUGAUCCCAGGAGGACCACCAGUGGCGAAGGCUGCUCACUAGAACACGCCUGACGGUCAGGGACGAAAGCUGGGGCAGCGAACCGGAUUAGAUACCCGGGUAGUCCCAGCUGUAAACGAUGCUAGCUAGGUGUUGGGUCGGCCACGCGCCGCCCCAGUGCCGCAGGGAAGCCGUUAAGCUAGCCACCUGGGGAGUACGGCCGCAAGGCUGAAACUUAAAGGAAUUGGCGGGGGAGCAC
RNAcentral lists this ribosomal RNA (565 nucleotides) under uncultured archaeon. Its description in RNAcentral is "bacterial SSU rRNA". It matches the Rfam family "Archaeal small subunit ribosomal RNA", at positions 311 to 879 of the family's 1478-position model. The record is from RNAcentral.